GGCAGCGUAGCUCAAUGGUAGAGCACAGCGUCUGUUUAAAAAGCGUUUGAUUUAUCAGCGUUGGUUUCACAGCGUUGCAUGUGGGUUCGAAUCCCACCGCUGCCA
Molecule: transfer RNA, 105 nt
Filed under: Candidatus Bathyarchaeota archaeon
Lineage: Archaea; Thermoproteati; Candidatus Bathyarchaeota
Description: tRNA-OTHER
Rfam family: tRNA
About the family: Transfer RNA (tRNA) molecules are approximately 80 nucleotides in length. Their secondary structure includes four short double-helical elements and three loops (D, anti-codon, and T loops). Further hydrogen bonds mediate the characteristic L-shaped molecular structure. tRNAs have two regions of fundamental functional importance: the anti-codon, which is responsible for specific mRNA codon recognition, and the 3' end, to which the tRNAs corresponding amino acid is attached (by aminoacyl-tRNA synthetases). tRNAs cope with the degeneracy of the genetic code in two manners: having more than one tRNA (with a specific anti-codon) for a particular amino acid; and 'wobble' base-pairing, i.e. permitting non-standard base-pairing at the 3rd anti-codon position.
Source: RNAcentral